Long non-coding RNA from Dermacentor andersoni, 4589 nucleotides. RefSeq lists it as uncharacterized. NCBI's taxonomy places the organism in Eukaryota, Metazoa, Arthropoda, Arachnida, Ixodida, Ixodidae. The record is from RefSeq and is a predicted model, not a curated record.
UGCCCUGCAGUGGGCCUAGACAGGCUGAUGAUGAUUGAUGAUGAUGAUGAAGAAGCCUCAGCAGUUCUUCCAAUCUCACGAAGGCCGAUAAUAUUCCAUAACAGUAACUUAGUCUUCUGCAUAAUAAUAUUCAGCCUUACUCUUGCAUGUUGUCGAUUCGGUCUUACCAUAAAGGUCAUAACUUGCGAGUAACAUGAAAUCUUAUGAUAGAAAUAAAGUUGCACAGCCCAGUUAUAUACAGGUGGUAAUCUCGGCACCAAUAUUCUGGUAGGGUUAUGACGAAUAAUUGAUCCUUCUAGCAAAACUCAUCUCAAGCACCGAAUUCCUUAGGGGGCACAUGUGUAUAGAUGCAAUCUAACACAUUCGACAACCAGUCAUCAGACAUGACGUAGGCAAAAUUGCGCGCCGCGUUAAGCAAAGGUCCAAUGAGCCCGAGCCAAAUGUUAGAAACUACUAUUGGCGUCCAAUUUUCAGGCUUACAGCAAUCGCCAAAAGAUAAAGGAAACCCAAAUCUUGCAUAUUCAUACGAAUAAAUUCAGACGAGAAAGAUGAGGUAAAAAAACGUACGACGGCUGGGUUUGUCAUGCCUUAGCAGCGCAUGGCAUCGCUUGUGCUCCCACGUGGGGAAUUACGGUAUUAUGAAGUAGAUGGCCAAGGCCCUUCUGCAAAACCUCCAAUUGCGGUUCUUUCGUUUUGCUACUCCCCUCUGAUGAGACACAGUAUUUAUCCUGGCAUUUUUCGGAAUGAUUCAUUAUUUGGAAGUUGGCGCUAUGUUCGUGGGCUUCGCUUGCGUUUGCCUUUUCUUCUCUUACUGUCCAUCAUUUACUGCCCAUCAGUUUAUUAAUGUCUUGGCGUAAAACACCACGGACCGUAUCUUUGAAUUUCAGCUGGCGUUGCUGUAUAUAAAUGACUAUGUAGGUGGAUAGCUAUCACUGAGGCGCUGACGGCCAGUGUUUCGGAAGCAACAUUUGAGGCGAUCACUUCUUGGGCGACCACUUUCAGAGGCGAUCACGCCGUAUCUGUGCCAGUAUACGGCCGAAAGAGUUUCUGGCUCAUUGCCAAGCUGAUGAUUAUGAAAUGAUGGUGUACAGAACAGGCCAAGGUUUCGUGCCCGCAUCGCUUUCACCGCGCUGCUCAUAUACGUGUGUGUUGCUUUUUUUUUUUUUUUUUUCAUCGGCACCGGGAGCGAACGGCACGAGAUCGAGGGGUUCGUGUCAUGCACGUAUUUGCCGGUCAAAGACGGUGCCGUCCUUUCAUGCGUCAUGAACUGGUCAAGUCUGGGAUGCACCACGUAGGCCGACUUUACGAAUCAAGCCAGCAAGCGACCUGGAUCCCACCGGGUUCUCUGGGGUCACUACGCCAACGCCCAGCUUGGCGCGGACACCCGGACAGCAGUCAACAUGUGGCAGGACUCCCAGCCUUAACCCUUCCUCUAGUGCAAGCCUCCAAGUGGCUGGAUUACAGCAGCGUGCUCACCUGAAGCGGCGAUGAUGGCGAGGAUCUCCCCACCAUGGACUUAGAAUGGCUGUCCCUUGAUUUGGAGCGAGACAUCCGAACAGCCACUGAGCCCGGCUGGAGAGGUUCAGCUACGCGUGGUUACGCAAACACAAAAAUAAAAAGGCUCAACACAGCGCUGGCCAUAGGGCCAGAAGAGGACGACGAUGGCGGUGUGUAACGCCGAUGACGUGCAAGACGACUCGUUCUUCGUGUACCACUAGUCGAACUAAUAGUGCUAAUGGUGUUUGCGGAGUAGUUCCUGGGUAGCAUAAGGAGAGUUUUGGGGGGUGUAAUCUAAAUAGAGCACCGAUAACAGGCGGCUUACGAAGUUAUCGUGUUGGUAAUGGCAGAGGAAAUACGAGUGUAAUGUUGGUGGAUGACAUGAAUAGCCCAAAGAACGGAAAACCACGCACGGCGGGAAAAUGUGAUCUUCACAGCAGCCUAUUCUAUUAGCGUACCGUGUUUUUCACCAAGGUGGUUCGGGACCCUUUUAGCCCUGUAAUGCACAACGCACAUUCUAUGUAGCACGCCGUUUGUUACGUCGUGAUUUAAAUGUGCGCGUGUGGAACACAAGCAGCGAUACUAAUUCACCAGCCUAUUUUUAUGUCCACUACUGACGGUCUUCUCCCAACGAUCCCCAAUUACCGCUAUCCUGUGCCAACUAUUUCCAACUUGCGCCUGCGAAUUUUCUCAUCAUCCCGCCUCGACUGCACUUCCCUUUUCUUGGCACCCAUUUGGUAACUCUAACGGUCUACCUGUUAUCCAUACGCAAUACAUAGCCUGCCCAGCUCCAUUUUUUCUAAUUAUGUCGUUUAGAAUAUCUGCUAUCCCUCUUUACCCUUUUGUCCAAAGCGCUCUUUUCCUGUCUCUUAACGUUACACCUACCAUUCUUCGUCCCAUCGCUCUUCUCGCGGUGUUGUUCUCGAGCUUCUUUGCUGAGUCUCCAAAUGUCUGCCCCAUAUGUCAGUGCCGAUAAAGCACACUGAUAGUAGACGCUUUUCUGUGAUGGUGUGAAGCUCCCAGUCAGGACCUGGCAGUGUUUGCCAUAUACACUCCAACCUAUUUUCACUCUUCUGUCAAUUUCAAUCUUUUGGUCAGUGUCCUCUAUGACUUUUUACAUAGUUAAACCGGCUCCUUCACAGACUACAGUAUGAGUGGCGAUCCUGGAAGUUUGUUCCCUUGCCAGAGUAUUGAUCAGAAUCUUUGUGUUCCGCAUAAUCUUCAGCCUCACUCUUAUACUUUCCCUGUUAAGGUCCUUAAUCAUUUGUCGUAAUUCCUCCCCAGUACUGCUGCACAGCUCGUGUGCAAGCGGAACGUUGCUGAGAUGUUCGCCGUUUAUCCUCACUCCUAAGCCUUCCCGUUUUGAUAGCUUCAGUGUUCUUUCCAAGCAUGCAGUGAAUAACAUUGGAGAGAUGGCGUCUCCUUGCCUGACCCCUUUCUUUAUAGGUACGUUUCUACUUGUGGAGAACAAAUGUAGAAUGUUUUAAAAUGUUUCCCAAGAUCGUCACGCGGGCCUUAUGUCCUAAUUGAUUACGUCAUGCCUCUAUGACUGCUGGUAUGUCUGACUCAAAGCAUUUUCAUAAUCUGUGAAAGCCUUUUAGAGGGGCUUGUUGUACUCUGCACAUUUCUCCAUUACGUUAUUGAUGACAAGGGGGUGAUAUAUUGCAGAACAACCCUUCCUGAAGCAAGCCUGUUUUCUUAGUUUACUGAAGUGUGACCCUUAUUGGAAAUUAUCUUCGUGAAUUGGCUGGAGCCAGCUGUAGUUGGGAUUAGCUUAGGAAUCUAAUUAGAAACUGGAGUGAUAGCUACCUCUACUCAUACAAUCUAUUGCUUUUAGUAUGAAUGGGCGCUCCAUGGCAAUAAAUGAAGGAAAAUAUAGGAAUUUUCUUAGAUGCAGAACUGUGUUUAUGCAUUACAAGGUUAAAUACUCCCCAAUACUAUUGGUGCCAGUGUUAAAUGUUUCGAACAGCGAACUCUGCAAAGUAAGUAUUCCAGAACUUCAGCCACCAGCGGCCUCGUUAGCGGACAACGAAGCCUGAACUGACGCUUCACUUCUACUGUUAUUCAUAGCGCAUCUUCAAGACCCCAGGUCGAGUACGUUGAAAGAAAUCUCGUGACAUGGACAUCUCGCCUGAACUGGCGCCUGAGUAUUGGUUGUGCAGCAGGGAAAGUUACCCGUGCCGUUGGCAUAUUGCGUGAGCUCGGCAACCAUCGUAUAUCGAAUAAAGUUUAUUUUUCCAUAAAGAAAUGGAGGGAGGGCUGAACAAAAUGUAAGAUGUUGAAGGUCCCGGCGCCCGUUUAUGUGACAGCCAGCCGUGGUGACCAGGGGAAAAAUGCACUUAGCAAUGCAAGUCAGUCGCAAUUCUAUGAGUGAUACAACCGGCAUGAUUAACAUGGAGGGAUGCGAAAGAAUAUGAAGGGCAUAGCGAUGUGAAUGAGUAAUUUGAGAGAACCAUACUAUAUGUAGACAAAAGUAUGUGUCCUAUAGUGGAACAAAAAAUGUGCGUAAAGUUAUUGAUUUACGUUUUUGUUUUGCAAUCUCGUUCUCAUGCAGAUAAUUCAAAGAACAAGGGGGAAAAGCUCGAAGCAACUGCGUAGAAAAUUAAGAGCCACUUAACUGUCGCAUAUACUUUCGGGCUGUUUUGCAGUUUUAUCGCGUACUUGGGUGCUCCGCCCUCUAUUGGAACGAACAGCUGUGCGCUUAUGCUUAGCCGAAAGCUUAAUUCCUUCAAGCUGUUUCAUACAUUCUACCUCAACAAUCGAAAUUGCUCUCUCCCGUGCGGCUACCGCGGUUCGGCUCUUGCAGAAGUUCUUCACAAUUUACGAGUUACCGCUGAGAGGGUCUGAAACUUUUAAUUUCCCGGCCAGCGGAAAUUCUGACCUGCAUACUUUCGAUAUACUUCCGAUUCCUGGCAGAUAUUAUUUGGUUAAUGAUGAAUUCGAUAUUUUUGUGAUUCAAAACAAUUUCAUCGUAUUUUCGUAAUUCCGACUGCAUAAAGUAAAAGCUGAGCAAAGUAUGUAAAGUGUGUAAAGUGUGUAAAGCAAAGUGUGUAAAGUAGUACACACGCACACAUACUUUACCUUGUUUCAGA